CAGUGUGUAGUUUAAAUAAAAUAUAGUAUUUGGGUUAUUAAGAUUUUAUCACUGA
RNAcentral lists this transfer RNA (55 nucleotides) under Cylicocyclus auriculatus. Its description in RNAcentral is "tRNA-Pro". Lineage: Eukaryota; Metazoa; Nematoda; Chromadorea; Rhabditida; Strongylidae. The record is from RNAcentral.